UCCCACGUGGUCUAGUAACUUGAAUAUCUGGCUUUCACCCAGAAGGCCCGGGUUCGAUUCCCGUAGUGCGAU
Non-coding RNA from Cordylochernes scorpioides, 72 nucleotides. The record is from the annotation of a GenBank genome assembly. NCBI's taxonomy places the organism in Eukaryota, Metazoa, Arthropoda, Arachnida, Pseudoscorpiones, Chernetidae.